Long non-coding RNA from Ipomoea nil (Japanese morning glory), 3059 nucleotides. RefSeq lists it as uncharacterized. The transcript is spliced from 5 exons. The record is from RefSeq and is a predicted model, not a curated record. Lineage: Eukaryota; Viridiplantae; Streptophyta; Magnoliopsida; Solanales; Convolvulaceae.
CAAAAGGAAAAAGAUGGUGGUUUAAAUUUGGAGAACCCAUCAGGCGCUAGUGGACUGAAGAUGCUCUGGCCUGUUAUCCUUCCACUGCAGAGAGGAGGAGGUGUUCGCUGCUCUGUGAAACCAGCCUGACGCGGUGCCCUCCUGUCUAAGAGACGAGAAGCCUCCGCCUUCGCAGAGACUCCACAACCGGACUCACCACUUGGAACGGGCAAGCCAGUAGAUAGCACCCCCGAGCCCAGCCUUCAAAGGUAAGCCAAAUUAUUCCACCAUUCUAAUGCUCCCACUUAGGUUACAGGCUCGCGCUACCAAGCCCAGCGAACAUUGCUUCUACCUAUGGACUUAUUAAGAGGAAAUAUUCCUCAUUUGGUUCCGAUGUGGGAUUGUGCGAGCCUUUCAUGGGUAAAAAAUGGAGCAGAGAACUCUGAUGUACUUAUGUUUAUGCCUGGUGUUUGACAGAUAUGAGACUUACGCUGUAUCGUUGUUCACAAAAAACUUAGGAAUGUAGAUGAAGCCUUGUUUUUUUUGAUAUGGAAAUUGCAUCAUUUUUGUUGAAGGAGGGCUUAUAUGUGAAGCAGAGACAUAGCCUGAAAGCUUUGCUUCACUGACCGGAAUGGCAGAGAUGGCAAAUCUUGAUUGGUGUCAUUGGAGAUGUUCAGGAAAUUCCAGCUUCUGAGCUGUCUGAUUGAAACAUUUUUUUGUCUUGAACCUUUAUCAAGGAAAUUCCAGCUUCUGAGCGGUUUCUGGUCAUUUACCUCUUCUCGUCUGAUGCUUAAUUUUUUGUUUUUAAAAUGUUUAUACUUAGUAUGAUGAGCUGCAAAAGACUUGGUUGAGCAAAAGGUGUGAGACUAUGAGUGCAAAGUUAGAGAAGUUUACACAACUAAUUACAUGCUUAUAGGAAGCUUGGAAUCACUGAAGGUUACCAGCACAGUUCAGUGUUCACACUCAGCCAGUGAUUUUAUCAUUACUGAUAAUGCAAGGAGUUGAGGACUAUAACCUUCUUUUUUAUCAGUAAUUUUGUCUGCUCAUCCCACCACCUAAUUAUAUUUCUACCCAAAAGAUUGUGUAUUUAUACUCCACCACAUUGUUCAAUUUGCAUUGAUCCCUACUGUUGACCAUCAACCACUAUUAUCUACAUAUAUUCUUUUUUAUAAUACACUGGUUUUCACAUCCCAUAAGAUGAAACUAAUCUGGCCGAAUCACGGUCUGUCUUCCGAAGGGUGUUCGUUUUGAAAUUCAAGCAGCCACUCAAAACAUUGCCCUCGUUUCAAUGUAAGGAAGGAAGGGAAUAGGCCAAGCCCCUUUGUAGGGCCUAUGACCUAGCCUAAUUAAUUAGGCCUAGUUAAGUCUGACUUAUUUAGUAAAAAAGUCGGGUUUGGGCUCAUUUCUGCAGCAAAUCUUGAUUAGUGGCAUUCGAGAUGUUGAGGGUCAUUACCCUCAGCUCAGUUUGCAAAAUUGCCAUCAGCUUCCUUACUUUUGCAGUGUAUACUAAAACAAUAGGAGUCAAUAUAAAAAUUGGCAUAAUGUUAACAAUCUUGUAAAAUCUCAUCCUUUUUGUGAACCAUUUACCACUUCAAUUUAGAAAGAUAUUUAGAAGAUGAAUUUUGCUGAAAGCAUCACCCUUAAAACUAUAUUUUGUAGCAUUUUUCUUAUUUCGAGGGACAGAAAUAUGCAUGAAAUAAAAUCGGUCAAAAAUUUGUUUUUGUCAUAUUUGGUGGUAAUUGAAAACAUUUAAGGUUUAUGAAGCUCUUGAGCUUCAAUUCGGAUUGUAGCUGCAGAAGUUGCUCAAAGGUUGAGGCUACCUCUUAUUUCCAAAGAUGGUGAAGAUGAAAAAAUUGAGAAUUUGAGUGUACUCUUAAGAAGUUCCCUUGACAGCACAAGUCCCAGUGUCGCAAUGAGCUCUGGCUCCAAAUUCAACAAAUUUCACUAAUGGGAACCUCAGCUCAACUUGGGCAGGUGCUGCUAUCCAUGGUUUGACGAGCUUUGACUUUUUUGAUUUGAUUGAGAAAUUGGUUUGCAAGUUUUUGUUGAGUUAUCAAGUGUCUAAGUUGUAUAUUGCCAUUCUAAUUUCUAAUUACUUCAAGUCUUGAACUAAGUAAUUCUAAUGGAACAUGUUAACACUUGUAUUGUUCUGAUAUUUUAAUUAGGACAUGGCAGAUCGAAUACCAGAUAUUGAUUUCGCGUGAGGUCGGAAAUCAUUUAGAUGCUAAAUGUGAAAACUUAGCUGAUGCUGUUGCUAUUGAUGACAUUGGUCGUAGGAUGAGGUGCAAAAGACUUGGCUGAGCAAACAGUGUGAGACUAUGAGUGCAAAGUUGAGGUAGGAUAGGAUUCACCCAUUGCUAAGUGUGGUUGCACAGAUCAAGGAGGAAAAAGGAAUGCCUGGAAUGGAGAAAAUUUAGACUACAUUUCAGGCUCGAUGAGAGAAAACGUAGAAAAGAUUUCAUAACAGAAAGGAAUUUGCUCUAUCCAACUGAAUUUGAGAAGACGUUAUCUCAAGAAGAGAAGGAUAUAUGGCGACGCUAUGAUGCCUUCAUGCGUUUUCAUUCCAGGGAAGAGCAUGAAAGAACUACUUAAGGCUAUAAUCUCAGAGCAUAGAAUUCUGAAAAGAAUAAAAGAACUCAAGGAGAAACAAGUAUGUGGUGACAUUAGGAUGCCGCCGCCACAUUAUCUUAAGAUGCUAGAAUUGAUGACAGUACACAUACAGCGGAGACAUCACCAAAAUGUCUGAUGCUUAUACCUUCUUCCAAAUCAAAACAACCAAAGUGGAUAGAGUCUAUGAUAUGCUUUUGAAGAAGGGUAUUGCUCCAUUGUGAAAAUAAGUUGUUCAUUCGUAGAUUAUCUAUUCUUUAACGGCUGGAUGGAGCGAGGGUGUUUUAGUGGUACAAAUGUGCAUAAUUCAUCUUUCCACAUCAGGCUGCAUGGUUUCAAACCUACGCCAUCAGGAUCCUCUGAUAGUGUAAUGUUGUAUAACCAAAACCAUAAAUUUGUAAUUUUAAACUUAGUUUUGUCCAAUUUCAUUGUGUUUCCAAUUGAUACAUAUGAUUUGAGAGGCUGUGUGCUCA